This 23-nucleotide microRNA is filed under the name Bombyx mori (domestic silkworm). Its description in RNAcentral is "bmo-miR-3357". The record is from miRBase by way of RNAcentral. Lineage: Eukaryota; Metazoa; Arthropoda; Insecta; Lepidoptera; Bombycidae.
UCUGGUCUUUUACCUCUCCCUGG